UGGGUUCGUUGGGGCCGACCACGCAGUA
RNAcentral lists this small RNA (28 nucleotides) under Bombyx mori (domestic silkworm). RNAcentral describes it as "ovarian small RNA-3839". Lineage: Eukaryota; Metazoa; Arthropoda; Insecta; Lepidoptera; Bombycidae. The record is from RNAcentral.